This 469-nucleotide ribosomal RNA is filed under the name uncultured bacterium. RNAcentral describes it as "partial 16S ribosomal RNA". It matches the Rfam family "Bacterial small subunit ribosomal RNA", at positions 28 to 507 of the family's 1533-position model. The record is from RNAcentral.
GACGAACGCUGGCGGCGUGCUUAACACAUGCAAGUCGAACGGAAAGGCCCUGCUUGCAGGGUGCUCGAGUGGCGAACGGGUGAGUAACACGUGGGUGAUCUGCCCCUUACUUUGGGAUAAGCCUGGGAAACUGGGUCUAAUACUGGAUAGGACCAUGCUGUAGGUGGUGUGGUGGAAAGAUUAGUUUCGGUAAGGGAUGAGCUCGCGGCCUAUCAGCUUGUUGGUGGGGUAAUGGCCUACCAAGGCGUCGACGGGUAGCCGGCCUGAGAGGGUGGACGGCCCACUUGGGACUGGGGAACGGGCCAGAACCCUACGGGAGGCAGCAGUGGGGAAUAUUGCACAAUGGGCGCAAGCCUGAUGCAGCGACGCCGCGUGGGGGAUGACGGCCUUCGGGUUGUAAACUCCUUUCAGCCAUGACGAAGCCCUUGUGGUGACGGUAGUGGUAGAAGAAGCACCGGCUAACUACGUG